RNAcentral lists this ribosomal RNA (860 nucleotides) under uncultured bacterium. RNAcentral's name for it is "bacterial SSU rRNA". It matches the Rfam family "Bacterial small subunit ribosomal RNA", at positions 524 to 1381 of the family's 1533-position model. The record is from RNAcentral.
UACGUAGGAUGCAAGCGUUGCUCGGAAUUAUUGGGUGUAAAGGGCGCGUAGGCGGCCUGAUAAGUCAUUGGUGAAAGCCCUCGGCUCAACCGAGGAAUUGCCAGUGAUACUGUCGGGCUAGAGUACGGGAGAGGGAAGCGGAAUUCCUGGUGUAGCGGUGAAAUGCGUAGAUAUCAGGAGGAACACCGGCGGCGAAGGCGGCUUCCUGGACCGACACUGACGCUGAGGCGCGAAAGCGUGGGUAGCAAACAGGAUUAGAUACCCUGGUAGUCCACGCCCUAAACGAUGGGUACUAGGUGUGAGGAGUUUUUAACUCUUCGUGCCGCAGCUAACGCAAUAAGUACCCCACCUGGGAAGUACGGCCGCAAGGUUGAAACUCAAAUGAAUUGACGGGGGCCCGCACAAGCGGUGGAGCAUGUGGUUUAAUUCGACGCUACGCGAAGAACCUUACCUAGGCUUGACAUCCGGAGAAUCCCCUGGAAACAGGGGAGUGCCCGCAAGGGAGCUCCGAGACAGGUGCUGCAUGGCUGUCGUCAGCUCGUGCCGUGAGGUGUUGGGUUAAGUCCCGCAACGAGCGCAACCCUUACUCUUAGUUGCCAGCGGGUUAUGCCGGGCACUCUAAUGGAACUGCCGGCGUUAAGCCGGAGGAAGGUGGGGACGACGUCAAGUCAUCAUGGCCUUUAUGCUUAGGGCUACACACGUGCUACAAUGGACGGUACAAAGGGUUGCAAGACCGCGAGGUGGAGCUAAUCCCAGAAAGCCGUCCCCAGUUGGGAUUGCAGUCUGCAACUCGACUGCAUGAACUUGGAAUCGCUAGUAAUCGCGGAUCAGAACGCCGCGGUGAAUACGUUCCCGGGCCU